RNAcentral lists this ribosomal RNA (253 nucleotides) under uncultured bacterium. RNAcentral describes it as "partial 16S ribosomal RNA". It matches the Rfam family "Bacterial small subunit ribosomal RNA", at positions 524 to 776 of the family's 1533-position model. The record is from RNAcentral.
UACAGAGGUCCCAAGCGUUGUUCGGAUUCACUGGGCGUAAAGGGUGCGUAGGUGGUUGGGCAAGUCUGAUGUGAAAUCUCCGGGCUUAACCCGGAAAUGGCAUUGGAAACUGUCUGGCUAGAGUGUUGGAGGGGGGACUGGAAUUCUCGGUGUAGCAGUGAAAUGCGUAGAUAUCGAGAGGAACACCAGUGGCGAAGGCGAGUCCCUGGACAACGACUGACACUGAGGCACGAAAGCUAGGGGAGCAAACAGG